This 253-nucleotide ribosomal RNA is filed under the name uncultured bacterium. Its description in RNAcentral is "partial 16S ribosomal RNA". It matches the Rfam family "Bacterial small subunit ribosomal RNA", at positions 524 to 776 of the family's 1533-position model. The record is from RNAcentral.
UACGUAGGUGGCAAGCGUUGUCCGGAUUUACUGGGCGUAAAGAGCGCGCAGGCGGUCGUUCAAGUCGCGUGUGAAAGCCCCCGGCUCAACUGGGGAGGGUCACGCGAUACUGAUCGACUCGAAGGCAGGAGAGGGUAGUGGAAUUCCCGGUGUAGUGGUGAAAUGCGCAGAUAUCAGGAAGAACACCUAUGGCGAAGGCAGCUCUCUGGGACGGUACUGACGCUGAGACGCGAAAGCGUGGGGAGCGAACAGG